RNAcentral lists this ribosomal RNA (252 nucleotides) under uncultured bacterium. Its description in RNAcentral is "partial 16S ribosomal RNA". It matches the Rfam family "Bacterial small subunit ribosomal RNA", at positions 524 to 776 of the family's 1533-position model. The record is from RNAcentral.
UACGUAGGUGGCAAGCGUUAUCCGGAUUUAUUGGGCGUAAAGCGAGCGCAGGUGGUUUAUUAAGUCUGGUGUAAAAGGCAGUGGCUCAACCAUUGUAUGCAUUGGAAACUGGUAGACUUGAGUGCAGGAGAGGAGAGUGGAAUUCCAUGCGUAGCGGUGAAAUGCGUAGAUAUAUGGAGGAACACCGGUGGCGAAAGCGGCUCUCUGGCCUGUAACUGACACUGAGGCUCGAAAGCGUGGGGAGCAAACAGG